This 1488-nucleotide long non-coding RNA is filed under the name Setaria viridis. Its description in RNAcentral is "long non-coding RNA (SVIR_LNC000613)". The record is from RNAcentral. Lineage: Eukaryota; Viridiplantae; Streptophyta; Magnoliopsida; Poales; Poaceae.
GAAGAUCCUACCUUUGCUCGCUGCUGCUGGGCACAAAGUCGGAUCUGGUGCGAUACGCCAUCUGCAAGAGCCAAUGUUCCAUUAAUUACAUAACCUCAGAAGUAUUCCAAACAGAUGGGAACGCACAAGUUAAAUCCUCAGAUGCGACUCUUGUCGACAAUGUAACACAAACAGCUUUAUAAAGGAGACACACACUUCCUUUUGCCAUCUUAGUUAGCAACUAUCUUAGUUCUGCACACGACUUCGGGCGAACCAUAACCAGAUUCCAGGAGUUCCAUCAUAUCUGACUUUAGGCUAAAGGGUCGGGCUAGGCGAAACAGCACAAAAAGGUUGGGCGAAGCGAACCACACCAGAAGGGGUCGGGUGAAGCAAACCGCACAGGAAGGGGGUCGGCGAAACGAACCGCACAAGAAGGGGGUCGGGUGAGGCGGAGAAGCGCCUCGAGGGGUCGGGCGCGUCCAACCUCGCGACCCGGGGUCGGCCAAACUCUGGUUAGACCCACAGAAAGCGAGCGUGUGGUCACAGCACAAACUCACACAGUCUGGCAUCCCAAACGUGUUGCAAAAGAGUCAGAGAUCAAGCUAAGAUCUGAUUUCACACAAUCUGGGGCAGCGCGACUGUGGAGGGGCAGCGAAACAGCCGGGAGGCAUCGGACUCUGCAGCCGGGGGUCCGGCGGGGUGAUGAUGGGCGCGAGCCGCGAGACGCUGUAGAAAGGGUAGCAGAGGAGCUUCCGCUGCGAUUGGGGAAGGGGGCGAGGAUAUCCAUCCGAUCGCGGCCGGCGACGGGGCGGAGCGGCGGGGGUCGGAGAAGUUGAGCCACGCGGCGGAGGAACUCUGAAGCGGGCAUGCCACUCGAGUGUGCCUGUCGUGGGAGAUCUGGGGGAAAGAUUUUGUGGGUCCACCGGUCAGUCUCGGUUGGUCCACUGCUCAGAUUGAAGGGAGGUGUGGUGGGGAGACUUAGAAGAAUCCGGCGGGUGAGUUGGGGUCGGAACUGGGGAAGCGGUGGAAAGGGGUCAGUUCUCAGGGGUCGGAACCGGACUGGAGGUUGAGCACUUAAACUCAGGGAAGCUUGAGACGGGGAUUAGGGACUCGGAUUAAGAUUAACUCGAGAGAUUUGGGGUUAGUCGUCACAGCUGGCCUAAAAAGGAUAGCGUGGUACGAUGUUUCAAAGUUUACCACCUCAAAUCGGAUGUACUCUAUUCGGUAGUGUUCUCUGGUCCAAAAGGUAACUGGCAAAAUCACAUGUCCAAGGGGUACAGCCGCGUUGCAUGGGACAACGCCGUAGAACGGUGAGUUCGUGGGGGUGAACAUGUUAGUGACAUCGAGGCCCAUCAUCUUCAGCGUUUUGGUGAACAGGAUGUUGAGGCUGCUACCACCGUUGAUGAGUACUUUGGUGAGUUUAAAGCCUACAACCACCGGGUCCAGGACGAGAGGAUAACGUCCUAAGUCUGAGAAACUAGUCCAUUGAUCUGCCCUGUAGAAGUUAAU